Molecule: ribosomal RNA, 331 nt
Filed under: uncultured Eubacterium sp.
Lineage: Bacteria; Bacillati; Bacillota; Clostridia; Eubacteriales; Eubacteriaceae
Description: bacterial SSU rRNA
Rfam family: Bacterial small subunit ribosomal RNA
Source: RNAcentral
CGAUGAGCAGGAGGAAGGUGGGGAUGACGUCAAGUCAUCAUNCCCCUUAUACGGGUGGGCUACACACGUGCUACAAUGGGCGGUACAGAGACUCGCGAACCUGUGAGGGGAAGCUAAUCUCAGAAAACCGUUCUUAGUUCGGAUUGUACUCUGCAACUCGAGUACAUGAAGUUGGAAUCGCUAGUAAUCGCAAAUCAGCUAUGUUGCGGUGAAUACGUUCUCGGGUCUUGUACACACCGCCCGUCACACCAGCGAGAGUUGGUUGCACCUCAACUAGCAGGCCUAACCGNCAAGGAGGGAUGUUCCUAAGGUGUGAUUAGCGAGUUGGGGU